GGGGAACCUGCCCCAUAGUCUGGGAUACCACUUGGAAACAGGUGCUAAUACCGGAUAAGAAAGCAGAUCGCAUGAUCAGCUUUUAAAAGGCGGCGUAAGCUGUCGCUAUGGGAUGGCCCCGCGGUGCAUUAGCUAGUUGGUAAGGUAAAGGCUUACCAAGGCGAUGAUGCAUAGCCGAGUUGAGAGACUGAUCGGCCACAUUGGGACUGAGACACGGCCCAAACUCCUACGGGAGGCAGCAGUAGGGAAUCUUCCACAAUGGACGCAAGUCUGAUGGAGCAACGCCGCGUGAGUGAAGAAGGUUUUCGGAUCGUAAAGCUCUGUUGUUGGUGAAGAAGGAUAGAGGUAGUAACUGGCCUUUAUUUGACGGUAAUCAACCAGAAAGUCACGGCUAACUACGUGCCAGCAGCCGCGGUAAUACGUAGGUGGCAAGCGUUGUCCGGAUUUAUUGGGCGUAAAGCGAGCGCAGGCGGAAGAAUAAGUCUGAUGUGAAAGCCCUCGGCUUAACCGAGGAACUGCAUCGGAAACUGUUUUUCUUGAGUGCAGAAAAGGAGAGUGGAACUCCAUGUGUAGCGGUGGAAUGCGUAGAUAUAUGGAAGAACACCAGUGGCGAAGGCGGCUCUCUGGUCUGCAACUGACGCUGAGGCUCGAAAGCAUGGGUUAGCGAACAGGGAUUAAGAUACCCUGGGUAGUCCAUGCCGUAAACGAUGAGUGCCUAAGUGUUUGGGGAGGUUUUCCCCCUCUCAGUGCUGCCAGCUAACGCCAUUAAAGCACUCCCCCCUGGGGAAUUCC
This 792-nucleotide ribosomal RNA is filed under the name uncultured bacterium. Its description in RNAcentral is "bacterial SSU rRNA". It matches the Rfam family "Bacterial small subunit ribosomal RNA", at positions 119 to 884 of the family's 1533-position model. The record is from RNAcentral.